Long non-coding RNA from Cavia porcellus (domestic guinea pig), 794 nucleotides. RefSeq lists it as uncharacterized. The transcript is spliced from 2 exons. NCBI's taxonomy places the organism in Eukaryota, Metazoa, Chordata, Mammalia, Rodentia, Caviidae. The record is from RefSeq and is a predicted model, not a curated record.
CUGGCUUCCAUUAUAUAACAGCACUGGCUCCAUCUUAUGACAACCAGUAGCCAUCUUGCGUGCUAAUUUAUAGUUGUUUUUAGUUCUUAGAUAAGUUUCUGCUUUUCCACGCCCUACUGUUUCCCCCAUAGUCAUGCUCUCUUUAGUACUAAGAUAAGUUUCUCUUGCUGCUCACCCUGCCCAUAUCUCCAAAGCCACACACUCUUCCCUAUCAAUUGAGACCUCCUGCUGUUGCCUAGCUACCUGUUGACAUCAAGAGCCUUAACCCGUCACUCCCUCAUAUCCUAUAUAUGUGUGACAUUGCUUUUCAAUAAAUGAGACUUGAUCAGAGUCCUGUCUUGUCUCUGUUCCUUGUGUCUCUUGUCCUUUUUUCAUCCCCACUCCUCUUCUGGGGUUCGCUUUGAGUUACCUGUGUGUCGCGAAGCAGCACCCAGCCUGGGACAAGUCGCACCCAACGUGGGGCUUUAGAAUGGAGGAUCCAGUGAGGGAUGCUGUUCGGAAGGCCGGCACAAAGACAGGAUGGAGAAAAACUUGAAAACAGAGGAAAAGACUACACAGGAGCCGGCUGCAUUUUCUAAACUUCGGUAAUGAAACCAAGAACCUGGAUCUUGUCGCUGGGAAUCUUGGCAACCCUGCCACUAAUGGUAAGGAGCAGUUUUGGAAAGCCAGUAAUAUCAGACAGCUACAUAAGCAAAUUUUUGGUGCCCCAUGUGAUUGCAAGGAAGGUAUUGUCAAAAUCAAACCCACCAGUUAUACCAGGUCUCCAGACUGUGGCAAUAAAAUAGCAUUCCUCA